RNAcentral lists this transfer RNA (86 nucleotides) under Rubripirellula amarantea. It matches the Rfam family "tRNA". From Rfam's summary of the family: Transfer RNA (tRNA) molecules are approximately 80 nucleotides in length. The record is from Rfam by way of RNAcentral. Lineage: Bacteria; Pseudomonadati; Planctomycetota; Planctomycetia; Pirellulales; Pirellulaceae.
GCGGCCGUGGCGGAAUUGGCAGACGCGCAAGACUAAGGAUCUUGUGCCCGAUUAAGGGCGUGGAGGUUCGAUUCCUCUCGGCCGCA